CGCAUGGUAGGAGAGCGUUCCGUAAGCCUGCGAAGGUGCCUUGUAAAGGGUGCUGGAGGUAUCGGAAGUGCGAAUGCUGACAUGAGUAGCGAUAAAGGGGGUGAAAGGCCCCCUCGCCGUAAGCCCAAGGUUUCCUACGCAACGUUCAUCGGCGUAGGGUGAGUCGGCCCCUAAGGCGAGGCAGAAAUGCGUAGCUGAUGGGAAGCAGGUCAAUAUUCCUGCACCAUUGUUAGAUGCGAUGGGGGGACGGAUCGCGGAAGGUUGUCCGGGUGUUGGAAGUCCCGGUCGCUGCAUUGGAGAAGGCGCUUAGGCAAAUCCGGGCGCAGGAUUCAAGGGUGUGGCGCGAGCGACUUAGGUCGCGAAGCAAUUGGAAGUGGUUCCAAGAAAAGCCUCUAAGCUUCAGUCUAACGAUGACCGUACCGCAAACCGACACAGGUGGGCGAGAUGAGUAUUCUAAGGCGCUUGAGAGAACUCGGGAGAAGGAACUCGGCAAAUUGGUACCGUAACUUCGGGAUAAGGUACGCCCUUGUAGCUUGACUGGCCUGCGCCAGGAGGGUGAAGGGGUUGCAAUAAACUGGUGGCUGCGACUGUUUAAUAAAAACACAGCACUCUGCAAACACGAAAGUGGACGUAUAGGGUGUGACGCCUGCCCGGUGCCGGAAGAUUAAAUGAUGGGGUGCAAGCUCUUGAUUGAAGUCCCGGUAAACGGCGGCCGUAACUAUAACGGUCCUAAGGUAGCGAAAUUCCUUGUCGGGUAAGUUCCGACCUGCACGAAUGGCGUAACGAUGGCCACACUGUCUCCUCCCGAGACUCAGCGAAGUUGAAGUGUUUGUGAUGAUGCAAUCUACCCGCGGCUAGACGGAAAGACCCCAUGAACCUUUACUGUAGCUUUGCAUUGGACUUUGAACCGAUCUGUGUAGGAUAGGUGGGAGGCUAUGAAACCGGAACGCUAGUUUCGGUGGAGCCGUCCUUGAAAUACCACCCUGGUUUGUUUGAGGUUCUAACCUUGGCCCGUGAUCCGGGUCGGGGACAGUGCAUGGUAGGCAGUUUGACUGGGGCGGUCUCCUCCCAAAGCGUAACGGAGGAGUACGAAGGUACGCUAGGUACGGUCGGAAAUCGUGCUGAUAGUGCAAUGGCAUAAGCGUGCUUAACUGCGAGACCGACAAGUCGAGCAGGUGCGAAAGCAGGUCAUAGUGAUCCGGUGGUUCUGUAUGGAAGGGCCAUCGCUCAACGGAUAAAAGGUACUCUGGGGAUAACAGGCUGAUACCGCCCAAGAGUUCAUAUCGACGGCGGUGUUUGGCACCUCGAUGUCGGCUCAUCUCAUCCUGGGGCUGUAGCCGGUCCCAAGGGUAUGGCUGUUCGCCAUUUAAAGAGGUACGUGAGCUGGGUUUAAAACGUCGUGAGACAGUUUGGUCCCUAUCUGCCGUGGGCGUUGGAUAUUUGAAGGGGGCUGCUCCUAGUACGAGAGGACCGGAGUGGACGAACCUCUGGUGUACCGGUUGUGACGCCAGUCGCAUCGCCGGGUAGCUAUGUUCGGAAGAGAUAACCGCUGAAAGCAUCUAAGCGGGAAACUCGCCUUAAGAUGAGAUAUCCCUGGAGGCUUGACCUCCUUGAAGGGUCGUUCGAGACCAGGACGUUGAUAGGUCAGGUGUGUAAGCGCAGUAAUGCGUUCAGCUAACUGAUACUAAUUGCCCGUAAGGCUUGAUCCUAUAACA
Molecule: ribosomal RNA, 1715 nt
Filed under: Burkholderia ubonensis
Lineage: Bacteria; Pseudomonadati; Pseudomonadota; Betaproteobacteria; Burkholderiales; Burkholderiaceae
Description: bacterial LSU rRNA
Rfam family: Bacterial large subunit ribosomal RNA
Source: RNAcentral